Molecule: long non-coding RNA, 708 nt
Filed under: Aotus nancymaae (Ma's night monkey)
Lineage: Eukaryota; Metazoa; Chordata; Mammalia; Primates; Aotidae
Description: lncRNA (ENSANAG00000038858.1)
Source: RNAcentral
CACGCACGGUGCACACGCAGGCCGCUGGUCGAGGGCUUCGCUGCGGACCGCGCCCCUGGCUGGAGUGACUGCCGUCCUGUCCUGGGAGAAUCUCGCCUCUUGCGCCCCGGAUCUCAGAGAGAAUCUUGUAUACCAUUAGUGGUGCACUUGGGGACACAUUGUGGUGUCUGUGGAGAGAAAGAAGAAGCUGACAUCUGAUACGAGAGGUCUCCGGAAGCUGCCUGGAGUUCACCAGCCUCCACUCCUUUGCCUGAGCUGAUUCCCCAUGAAGCGCUCUGUCACUUGCAAUCCUUCCUUCUUUGGGUCACCUUCUCCUGCAUCUCUCCUAAAGGAAGACAUUUUCUUUCCUCUGAAAUGCUCACUAGAGCCACACGGGGGACCCGGAAGAAAUUCAGGUUGCAGAACCAGGAGAGAGUCCGGUGUGACUACGCUGGUUGCAUGCCUGUGAAGCUGGUCCUAUCUCUGUGGCUGCAUGGACAGCGAGCAGCUGCCCCAAACUCAGUUCCACCCACAUCCGCACAUCCCAGUGAGUCCCCGUUGGACACAAGACCCACCACUUCCUUCUUCUCUGCGGAGCCACAUCCGAAUUCAGCCCUGAAGUUAUCUUCUUUAACUUUUCCCCAACAAUCUGCAGAAACAUGGGUCAGGUAACCUCCCAUUUGAAAUGUUGACAACCUCAGCUUCCUAAUAAAAUAAAAGCCUGCUUUC